GUAGGUGGCAAGCGUUGUCCGGAAUUAUUGGGCGUAAAGCGCGCGCAGGCGGUUCUUUAAGUCUGAUGUGAAAGCCCACGGCUCAACCGUGGAGGGUCAUUGGAAACUGGAGAACUUGAGUACAGAAGAGGAAAGCGGAAUUCCGCGUGUAGCGGUGAAAUGCGUAGAGAUGUGGAGGAACACCAGUGGCGAAGGCGGCUUUCUGGUCUGUAACUGACGCUGAGGCGCGAAAGCGUGGGGAGCAAACAGGGAUUAGAUACCCUGGUAGUCCACGCCGUAAACGAUGAGUGCUAAGUGUUAGGGGGUUUCCGCCCCCUUAGUGCUGCAGCUAACGCAUUAAGCACUCCGCCUGGGGAUACGGCCGCAAGGCUG
Molecule: ribosomal RNA, 372 nt
Filed under: uncultured organism
Description: partial 16S ribosomal RNA
Rfam family: Bacterial small subunit ribosomal RNA
Source: RNAcentral